CGUAGCCACGGGAAUACGGAGGGGGCUAGCGUUGUUCGGAAUUACUGGGCGUAAAGCGCACGUAGGCGGCUUGGUAAGUUAGAGGUGAAAGCCUGGAGCUCAACUCCAGAAUUGCCUUUAAGACUGCCGAGCUAGCAGGUGAGAGAGGUAAGUGGAAUUCCGAGUGUAGAGGUGAAAUUCGUAGAUAUUCGGAAGAACACCAGUGGCGAAGGCGGCUUACUGGCUCAUACUGGACGCUGAGGUGCGAAAGCGUGGGGAGCAAACAGGAUUAGAUACCCCUGUAGUCCCUGUCUCUUAUACA
This 301-nucleotide ribosomal RNA is filed under the name uncultured bacterium. RNAcentral's name for it is "partial 16S ribosomal RNA". It matches the Rfam family "Bacterial small subunit ribosomal RNA", at positions 510 to 808 of the family's 1533-position model. The record is from RNAcentral.